ACAUCCUUUAAGAGUAGUCCCGUGAGGCUAAGAAGGAAACGUGCAGAAUAAUCUAAGUGCGCUUAGAGAAAAGACUGCAUGUGAUGCAUAGUACCUUAGUGUAAUCAAUCCUCCUGCCCAAAAUCCGGGUAGGAGUUUUUUUGU
Molecule: non-coding RNA, 144 nt
Organism: Enterococcus rivorum
Lineage: Bacteria; Bacillati; Bacillota; Bacilli; Lactobacillales; Enterococcaceae
Source: Rfam